Molecule: ribosomal RNA, 483 nt
Filed under: uncultured bacterium
Lineage: Bacteria
Description: bacterial SSU rRNA
Rfam family: Bacterial small subunit ribosomal RNA
Source: RNAcentral
GAUGAACGCUAGCGGCAGGCUUAACACAUGCAAGUCGAGGGGCAGCACAGGUGGCAACACCGGGUGGCGACCGGCGUAAGGGUGCGUAACACGUGAGCAACAUACCCGUAUCUGGAGGAUAACCGGAGGAAACUCUGCCUAAUACUCCAUAAUAUCAUCGUACGGCAUCGUUUGGUGAUUAAAGAUUUAUCGGACACGGAUUGGCUCGCGGGACAUUAGCUUGUUGGUGGGGUAACGGCUCACCAAGGCCACGAUGUCUAGGGGUUCUGAGAGGAAGGUCCCCCACACUGGAACUGAGACACGGUCCAGACUCCUACGAAAGACAGCAGUAAGGAAUAUUGGACAAUGGUCGGAAGACUGAUCCAGCCAUGCCGCGUGAAGGUUACUGUCCUAUGGAUAUUAAACUUCUUUUGUAUGAGAGCAAUAAGGUGCACGCGUGCACCGAUGAGAGUAUCAUACGAAUAAGCAUCGGCUAACUCCGUG